GUUGCCAGCAUCGUUGGGCACUCGUAGAGGGACUGCCGGCGACAAGUCGGAGGAAGUGGGGAUGACGUCAAUCAUCAUGCCCCUUAUGACCUGGGCUACACACGUGCUACAAUGGGCGGUACAAAGGGCUGCGAACCCGCGAGGGGGAGCGAAUCCCAAAAAAGACCGCUCUCAGUUCGGAUUGCAGGCUGCAACUCGCCUGCAUGAAGCCGGAAUCGCUAGUAAUCGCGGAUCAGCAUGCCGCGGUGAAUACGUUCCCGGGCCUU
Molecule: ribosomal RNA, 266 nt
Filed under: uncultured Geobacillus sp.
Lineage: Bacteria; Bacillati; Bacillota; Bacilli; Caryophanales; Anoxybacillaceae
Description: partial 16S ribosomal RNA
Rfam family: Bacterial small subunit ribosomal RNA
Source: RNAcentral